GUUAACAAUCCGAUAGAGAAGUUUGAUAAUGGAGAAACCGAGAUUGCUCUAAACCGAUCUGGUCCUUUUUAUUUCAUCAGUGGUAAUAAAGAGCACUGUGCUAAGGGACAGAAGUUGAUAGUCUUUGUCCUCGCCAUCAGAAAUCAACCUAAGGUACCCAUUUCCCCUGCCAAAGCUCCGUCGACUGCUCAACCCCCGAAGUCUCAUUCCCCGGUAGUUGCUCCGGCGAAGGCUCCCUCAACCGCUCAUUCGCCUAAAUCUCAUUCCCCGGUCUCUCCGGUUGCACCGGCCAAAUCUCCGACAGCUCACUCCCCCGCUUCUCAUAUUUCUCCGGCGAAGGCUCCGUGGACUGUUCAACCUCCAAAAGCCCAUUCCCCUGUUUCUCCAACUGCACCGGCGAAAGCUCCAACAAUGGCUCAUUCGCCUAAGUCCUCUGUUUCCCCAUCCCCGCACCCUGUUGCUCACUCACCGGCUGUGUCUCCGUCCAAAGCUCCAGCAACGACCCCAGCUAAACAUUCUCCUUCGCCGUCCCCCACAAACUCUCCAAAAUCAUCCCCUGCUACUCCUCCAAAGGCCUCACCAUCUACCCCAGAGAAACCUCCCAAGUCUACUCCAGCUUCUCCAGCGCCUGAGAAGACUCCACCUUCGUCCCCAACUCCUUCUGACGACAACAUGGCGCCGGCGCCAAGUCCCAGUGCAGCAGCUGUUGUGACCGUUACUUCGGUUAUGUCUACCCUCUUCACUGUGGCUUUUACCGUUUCGAUGUUUGCUUAAGUUUUUUCUUUUAAGAAUGGUUAUGUGUGUUUGAUUUACAUUUCUUUAUUCUGUUGUUGCUGGGUUUUUAUUAUUUGUUCUGAGUGUGUCCUUGUGUUUGCAUUAUGAAUUAUUACUUCUGUUAUUAAUAUCGCCGUGUUUGUUCUAAAAGCAUUUCAUUCGACAUUUAGAUGUAGGAGUGGGCAAAAAAAAAUGAACCAAACUAAACCAAACCGACCCUACUAAAUCCAAACCAAAAUAUACAUCUACAUCAUUUGGUUUGAGAUUUUAUAAACUAAAUGGUUCAGUAUGGUUUGGCUUUAAACCAAACCAAACCGAAUUGUUUUUUUUCUAAGUAGAUUAAUUAAAUAUAUUAAUAAUACUGAAAUUUAAUAUAUUUAACAUUUAAUUUAAACUAGUAAACAUAAUUUUAUCCAUUUUACUUUUAAAUGAAUAAGAUACAUACAACUACAAAUAAAAUAAAGAAUAUAAAUUGUAUAGAUUAACAUCAAAAUUGAAAAAUUACCAUGUAUAUUAGGUUUGAAAAUAAUAAUAUAAAAUUAUUGGAUUACAUAAAUAAAUUUGGACACUAAAUCAAUAUUUUCUUCAUAUGAUGGCGUAAAUUUGGAGGAGGUGAAGGCAACAACUGAGCUCGUUUCAAAUUAUUUUAUUUUAUUACUCUUUGUUUUUAUGUUUAAAUUUUAAAAUCUAUGUUAAAAAUGUUAUCUUUCAAUAUGUUUUAUUUAAUAAAUUAAUUUUAUCUUUAAAAAAAAAUUUAUAAUUAUUUUGUUAAGAACUCUUAGUUAAGAAACUACCAUUGGAGGCACAAAAUCGAACAGUUUCUUAACUAGAAUCCUUAAACCCACUUAAAUACAUUUAAUUAAUUAAAUAAUUAUUAAAGAAACCCACUUGAGUUUCAUGGAUAAUCAUGCUCUAAAUGCCUCUCAAUCCUUUCUGUCAACGUUCAAAUCCAAUUAUGAUUUAUUACCUUAAACAAAAAUAUUCCUUACUAUUAAAGCAAGAAGUAAUCUGUCACAUUUUCAUUUCCCAUUUUUGUAAGAUUCGCCUCCAAGUCUCCUAAACUUCUAGCACUAUAUAACAAUACUCAUUCCCCAAGAACCAAAGACGCACAAAAACCUAAUCUCAGAUCUCGCCGCUUCUCUUUAACCAUGGUGGCCCUCAUGAGAAGUCUCUGUUUUUCUUUCAUCGUCUUGGCUUCUAUUGCGACCCUCUUCUCAGUUGCGGAUGCACAUAAGUUUCAGGUCGGUGGUAAAGGCGAUUGGGUCGAAAAACCACAUGAGGGUUACAAUUCUUGGGCUGAAAGUAAACGUUUCAAAGUCCAUGACACAAUCCGUAAGAUCCUUUCUAUUGCUAUUAGUUUAUAUUACGAGUUUUAUUUAUAUAUAUAUAUAUGUGAUUGUGUUUGACAAAAAAAUAUUAAAAUCUUGUGUAGACUUUAAGUAUGCCAAGGGAUCAGACUCGGUGCAAGUAGUGGCGAAAGCAGAUUACGACGCAUGCAACGUUAACAAUCCGAUAGAGAAGUUUGAUAAUGGAGAAACCGAGAUUGCUCUAAACCGAUCUGGUCCUUUUUAUUUCAUCAGUGGUAAUAAAGAGCACUGUGCUAAGGGACAGAAGUUGAUAGUCUUUGUCCUCGCCAUCAGAAAUCAACCUAAGGUACCCAUUUCCCCUGCCAAAGCUCCGUCGACUGCUCAACCCCCGAAGUCUCAUUCCCCGGUAGUUGCUCCGGCGAAGGCUCCCUCAACCGCUCAUUCGCCUAAAUCUCAUUCCCCGGUCUCUCCGGUUGCACCGGCCAAAUCUCCGACAGCUCACUCCCCCGCUUCUCAUAUUUCUCCGGCGAAGGCUCCGUGGACUGUUCAACCUCCAAAAGCCCAUUCCCCUGUUUCUCCAACUGCACCGGCGAAAGCUCCAACAAUGGCUCAUUCGCCUAAGUCCUCUGUUUCCCCAUCCCCGCACCCUGUUGCUCACUCACCGGCUGUGUCUCCGUCCAAAGCUCCAGCAACGACCCCAGCUAAACAUUCUCCUUCGCCGUCCCCCACAAACUCUCCAAAAUCAUCCCCUGCUACUCCUCCAAAGGCCUCACCAUCUACCCCAGAGAAACCUCCCAAGUCUACUCCAGCUUCUCCAGCGCCUGAGAAGACUCCACCUUCGUCCCCAACUCCUUCUGACGACAACAUGGCGCCGGCGCCAAGUCCCAGUGCAGCAGCUGUUGUGACCGUUACUUCGGUUAUGUCUACCCUCUUC
This 3015-nucleotide long non-coding RNA is filed under the name Brassica napus (rape). RNAcentral describes it as "long non-coding RNA (BNAP_LNC001244)". Lineage: Eukaryota; Viridiplantae; Streptophyta; Magnoliopsida; Brassicales; Brassicaceae. The record is from RNAcentral.